This 230-nucleotide ribosomal RNA is filed under the name uncultured bacterium. RNAcentral describes it as "partial 16S ribosomal RNA". It matches the Rfam family "Bacterial small subunit ribosomal RNA", at positions 15 to 236 of the family's 1533-position model. The record is from RNAcentral.
GAUCCUGGCUCAGGAUGAACGCUAGCUACAGGCUUAACACAUGCAAGUCGAGGGGCAGCAUGGUCUUAGCUUGCUAAGGCCGAUGGCGACCGGCGCACGGGUGAGUAACACGUAUCCAACCUGCCUACCACUUGGGGAUAACCUUGCGAAAGUAAGACUAAUACCCAAUGACAUCCCACGAAGACAUCUGAAUGGGAUUAAAGAUUUAUCGGUGAUGGAUGGGGAUGCGU